GGUGGUAGAUCGUGGCACCAUGCUGUUCGUGCAGCAUGGCGAGAUGUGUCAAAGACGCACUUAACGAGUCUUCUUUCUUGAGGUCCAAACACGCGCGACACUCGCAAUCAACGUUCGUUUCGGCGAAAAAAGGGUUAAAAAAUGAGGUAACCUAUGCCUGUAUUGGAACGUUACUGCGGCCGAAUGAAUCUAGUGGUUCAAUUGUAUGAGAAAAAUGAUUUUUACCAAAAUCCGAUUUCCUGACACAAAUCGAUCGAUUAAAAUGGAAAAACGAAAGCACAAAUGAAACGUAGUUUCAUCCUACUAACCUAUGCGUAGUAUGUCGACCGGUUGUCACGAUUACUCAACGAGUUCAAAACAUUUCCACGACACUGACUUCUGCAGAUAUCACGAUGGCUGCCAUAUUGGAUUCUCAUUCCGCAAACCACCGACAAGAUACUUAUAAAAGGAAGACAAUCUUACCUGAUUUUACGAAAAAUUCAUACGAUACGAGUGACCUCUUCAGAGACAAUACGAUAGUUCGUACACAUGAAAUUGCAGAUGAUAAAAUCGACAUUAAACAUAUAAUUUUAACUACAAUUUUCAUUAAGCGUAAAUGUUAAAUAUUAUGUACUACUGUUAAAUAUGUAUCUGAAUUAUCAAGGUUCCGUGAUUCAAUUUUUAUUUUUUAUAAAUACAUUAAUUUCAAUUACAACUUAUGUAAUCACUGAAUUGGAAAGUCAACUGUAUCGAAAUAUAAAUUAUAUAUAAG
Nomia melanderi (Alkali bee) is the source of this 751-nucleotide non-coding RNA. The record is from RefSeq and is a predicted model, not a curated record. NCBI's taxonomy places the organism in Eukaryota, Metazoa, Arthropoda, Insecta, Hymenoptera, Halictidae.